This 381-nucleotide ribosomal RNA is filed under the name uncultured bacterium. RNAcentral describes it as "bacterial SSU rRNA". It matches the Rfam family "Bacterial small subunit ribosomal RNA", at positions 29 to 400 of the family's 1533-position model. The record is from RNAcentral.
AACGAACGCUGGCGGCGCGCCUAAUACAUGCAAGUCGAGCGAGAAGACGUAGCAAUACGUUUGUAAAGCGGCGAACGGGUGAGGAAUACAUGGGUAACCUACCCUCGAGUGGGGAAUAACUAGCCGAAAGGUUAGCUAAUACCGCGUACGCUUCUUGGACUUCGGUUCAGGGAGGAAAGCGAUACCGUGGGUAUCGCGCUCUUGGAUGGGCUCAUGUCCUAUCAGCUUGUUGGNGAGGUAACGGCUCACCAAGGCUUCGACGGGUAGCUGGUCUGAGAGGACGAUCAGCCACACUGGCACUGCGACACGGGCCAGACUCCUACGGGAGGCAGCAGUAAGGAAUAUUGCGCAAUGGGCGAAAGCCUGACGCAGCGACGCCGC